GCCCCUGUAGCUCAGUUGGUAGAGCAGCUCACUUGUAAUGAGAAGGUCGAGGGUUCGAUUCCUUUCGGGGGCACCA
This 76-nucleotide transfer RNA is filed under the name Thiobacillus sp. Its description in RNAcentral is "tRNA-Thr". It matches the Rfam family "tRNA". From Rfam's summary of the family: Transfer RNA (tRNA) molecules are approximately 80 nucleotides in length. Their secondary structure includes four short double-helical elements and three loops (D, anti-codon, and T loops). Lineage: Bacteria; Pseudomonadati; Pseudomonadota; Betaproteobacteria; Nitrosomonadales; Thiobacillaceae. The record is from RNAcentral. RNAcentral also lists the same sequence under 2 other names.